This 743-nucleotide ribosomal RNA is filed under the name Aegithalos caudatus caudatus. RNAcentral's name for it is "partial 16S ribosomal RNA". The stretch from base 208 to 652 matches the Rfam family "Bacterial large subunit ribosomal RNA", at positions 619 to 1301 of the family's 2925-position model. The record is from RNAcentral. Lineage: Eukaryota; Metazoa; Chordata; Aves; Passeriformes; Aegithalidae.
UGCCAAACUCUAGCCCAACAUACCUGACCUGGAAUAACAAAGCUACUCUCAAAACCCAACUAAAGCAUUUACUAGUCCCAGUAUAGGCGAUAGAAAAGACACCAUUGGCGCGAUAGAGACUACGUACCGUAAGGGAAAGAUGAAAUAAGAGUGAAAUAACUAAGCUAAAAACAGCAAAGAUCAACCCUUGUACCUUUUGCAUCAUGGUCUAGCAAGAAAAACCAAGCAAAAUGAAUUUAAGUUUGUCACCCCGAAACCCAAGCGAGCUACUUACGAGCAGCUAUUAUUGAGCGAACCCGUCUCUGUUGCAAAAGAGUGGGAUGACUUGUCAGUAGAGGUGAAAAGCCAAUCGAGCUGGGUGAUAGCUGGUUGCCUGUGAAACGAAUCUAAGUUCACUCUUAAUUCUUCUCCAAGGAAACCCAGAACCCUAAUGAAGCGAAUUAAGGGCUAUUUAAAGGAGGUACAGCUCCUUUAAAAAAGAGUACAAUCUCUACGAGCGGAUAAAUAACCUUUACCAAAGACUAUUGUGGGCCCUCAAGCAGCCNUCAACAAAGAGUGCGUUAAAGCUCUGUGCUCCAAAAAAAUGUAAAAACUCUAUGAAUCCCUCACCACUAACAGGCUAACCUAUAAAAAUAGGAGAAUUAAUGCUAGAAUGAGUAACCUGGGCUUUCCCUCUUCGACGCAAGCUUACNUCAGUACAUUAUUAACAAGUACCAUAUACGAACAUCCAACAAGCAUAGUAU